CCUACGGGAGGCAGCAGUGAGGAAUAUUGGUCAAUGGGCGGGAGCCUGAACCAGCCAAGUCGCGUGAGGGAAGAAGGUCCUGUGUAUUGUAAACCUCUUUUGUCAGGGGACAAAGGCGGCCACGUGUGGCCGUUAGAGGGUACCUGAUGAAAAAGCAUCGGCUAACUCCGUGCCAGCAGCCGCGGUAAUACGGAGGAUGCGAGCGUUAUCCGGAUUUAUUGGGUUUAAAGGGUGCGCAGGCGGCGUGUCAAGUCAGCGGUAAAAUGUCGGGGCUCAACCCCGGACUGCCGUUGAAACUGGCGGGCUUGAGUGGGAGAGAAGUAUGCGGAAUUCGUGGUGUAGCGGUGAAAUGCAUAGAUAUCACGAAGAACCCCGAUUGCGAAGGCAGCAUACCGGACCGACACUGACGCUGAGGCACGAAAGCGUGGGUAUCGAACAGGAUUAGAUACCCGUGUAGUC
RNAcentral lists this ribosomal RNA (459 nucleotides) under uncultured bacterium. RNAcentral's name for it is "partial 16S ribosomal RNA". It matches the Rfam family "Bacterial small subunit ribosomal RNA", at positions 338 to 795 of the family's 1533-position model. The record is from RNAcentral.